UUGCCUUAACUUUAUGAGUAAGGAAAAUAAAGAUUCAGGGUGAUGGUUGAUUCCUCAUUGCUAAUGUGAGAUUAAUUUUUGAGCUGGUAAAGAUUUCCCCUAUAGUGACCUGCCUACUUUUCAGAAGGCCUGGGAGUCAGGAUCUGUCCA
This 150-nucleotide small nuclear RNA is filed under the name Sciurus vulgaris (Eurasian red squirrel). RNAcentral describes it as "U12 minor spliceosomal RNA (ENSSVLG00005021974.1)". It matches the Rfam family "U12 minor spliceosomal RNA". Rfam says of the family: Although the U12 sequence is very divergent from that of U2, the two are functionally analogous. Lineage: Eukaryota; Metazoa; Chordata; Mammalia; Rodentia; Sciuridae. The record is from Rfam by way of RNAcentral.